Molecule: long non-coding RNA, 4098 nt
Organism: Nomascus leucogenys (northern white-cheeked gibbon)
Lineage: Eukaryota; Metazoa; Chordata; Mammalia; Primates; Hylobatidae
Exons: 6
Source: RefSeq, a predicted model, not a curated record
UGAUUAAUGAUUUAUUCAAAACAAAGGUAGAAAUGAAUGAAAAUUGAGACUAAUGAUGGCGUGAGCCAUAUACAAUGAGUAAAACAUGUCUGGACUUUGAUGUCCAACACAAAAGACGUAUAUUCCGUAUUCUUGAUAUAAGGCGUCCGCUAGGCCCAUGUUGGGAAUAUCCAAGGAUCUUGGGCUUGAUCUUUGUGUUCAUAUAUUUUCAUUCUAGUAUUAUAAUUGGAUCAAUGAAAUAACCAAUCAAUAAGUAAAUAAAUUAAUGGAGUAUUGUUCAAAUUAAAAAUAUGUAGUGAGCAAAAAUACACUACUAAUAUAUUAUGAAAACACUAAAUUCUAAUUUGAAAUACAUUUUACAUGACUCUUACCUCCUUAGCUCAGGAUGGCGUAGAUGGUAUAAGUUACAGACACUGUUCAUGUUCUGGAUAGAUGGCGAUUUUGAAUUUAUUCAUUCUCUUAAGAGAAAAAAAUACUCUAAAUGUGUGAUUACUGAAAUGACUGACUAAAGGUGAAAAGCAAGGAUCAAUGGAGAGAACGUCUCAGAUGUCUAUUCUCCUUCUUCGUUUUAAAAUCAUCUGUUCUGUCCUGUAUUUCUCACACUGGACUCAUCUGAGCUGAUUUAAGAAUUCUCACAUGGUUAUGACUGUAUGACUGAAUCUCUAUUAAGACCAAUGUGAGUAAGAGUCAAAAUUUUUGUCAUGGCUUCAGUGGUUUGUUUAAGGAUGUUCACUAUAUUAUUAAAAAGUGUGAAAUAUAAUCACAAAAGGCCUAAUGUAAACAUCAUAAUUUGGGAUUAACAUGAAUCAUUAUACCGAUUAAUGCAUAUAUGAAAAACAGAGGAUACAUUAUAAAAUUUAAAUACUGAUAUGUGAAUAAUGAUGGAUACCUAACAAAUUGGUUUGCUUUUGUUGGAGGUUUGUGAAUCGUAGGCUUUAAAAAAUAUUAUCAGUGAAUUUAUGAAUUAAUCAAUAAACAAUGUAGUGGAGAAUGAAGAGAAAGCGGGCCUUCCUGGACCAAUGAUGACAACUGCCGGCGUAUGAGUGUUGGGUGAUGAAUAACACGUGUCUAGAACUCUGAGGUGCAGCAUACAAAACACCUCAAUAAGCAAGGAUCAGUGGAGGAAUAUCUAGUUUUAAAAAAAUCAUCUUCUCUUUUUUGCACUCCUCAGAGUGAUAAUCUCGAGGUGAUUUAUGCAUUCUUCCAUGGCCACCAGCCUUAUGGUUGCAUCUCUGCGUUAGAGCCUAGAGAUCAAUGUGAGUAAUAGUCAAAGUUCUUGGUGUGGUUUAGGUGGUUUAAGGUAUUCACUGCAUUACUAAAAAGUGUGAAAUAUAAUCACAUAACGCCCGCUGUUACAAAAGACAAAUAUGAAGCAUUAUAUUGAUUAAUACAUGUGUGAAAAGCUGAGGAUAAUUAAAGCAGGAGAUACAUGGAGAUGAGAUGAUAGUAUGUACUGAUUAAGAAUAUCAAGACUGUUCUUGGGGUUUUGUGAAUCAUAGGGUUUUAAUUUAUUGUUAGUGAACUAAUGAUUAAAUCAACAGACAAUAUAGAAAUGAAUGGAGAAAAGGAGGCCCAAUCCUGGAUCGAUGAUGACCACUGGUGGCGUAUGAGUCAUACAUGAUGAAUAUGGGUCUGGAACUCUGAGGUCCUUCACAAAAGAAAUCAGGUCUUUUUGUUCAUGCAUUCUUAUGUGAUUAUUAUGAUUGGGUCAAUGAAAGAAUCAGUAAACAAAUUUAUAAAUGAAUCAAGGUAAAAUGGGGGAAACAUUGUCUAAUUAUAAAAAUUUGUAGUGAUGCAAGGAAUUUUGUUAAUAUAUAUAGAAAACACUAAAAUCCAAAGAGAAGUAAAUGGUACAUAAUGGUUUAUUUUGGCAAAGGAUGAUAUGGACAGUAUUAAUUAGAUAAUGUGUUUGUUCUGGGUCAGUAGCAAGUUCAAAAUUGUUCAUUUUAAGAAAAAACGAAAUAAAUAUCCUCCAAGUAAUGAUUGCCUGAAUUAAUGAUUAAAUGGAAGAUGAUAAGCAAGGAUCAAUGGAGGAUUUUCUCAUUUUUUAGUCAGCUGUUUUGCUCUGCACUCCUCAGAAUGGAUGCUUUAGAGGUGAGUCAAUCUCUCAUCCCUGCUCACCAGCACGUUGGCUGUAUCUCGUGUUAGAAUAUGAAGGCCAAUGUGAGUAAUAGUCAAUGUUCUUGUCUUUACUGGUGUAGCUUUUUAAAAAAGAUAUUUCCUAUAUUAUUAAAAUGUCUUAAAUAUAACCAGAGACCCAAACAUGCCAAUUUUACUAUCAGAUUGAUAGACAUAUUGUACUGAUUGGUCAAUAUAUGGACCAAAGAAGAUCAUUACCACAGAAGAUGGUAAUGAAGAGAUUUAGUCUGUGGAAAUGAAUCUGUAGAUGAAUGUUAGGAAUCUUUAUGAAUAUUAUUCUUGUAUUUACUGACCGAUGUGUAUUUCUUAUUAAUAAAUUAAUCAAUGGAUAAAUUUGUAUUAGUGUGAAAUCAAAGAGAUCCUGGACUGAUGAUGACUACUGGUAUGAGUCAUGCAUAAUGAACACCAUGUGUCUGGAACUCUGAGUUCCAACACAAAUGGGGUGUAAUCCAUUCCCCAUUUCGAAGGGAUCUUAUGCACUGAUGUCAGAAUAUAUGAGGACCUUGUUGUUGAUAUUUGUGUUCAUGAAUUUUAAAAAUAUUAUUGUAAAUGAAUCAAGGGCAGAAUAAACAAAUUUGUAAAUUAAUAGAGAUGAAGAGGGUGAAGCACUGUUUAUUACUAAGCUUCAUAGUAAGGAAAAUGAAUAUUAAUAGAAAUGGAAUGGGUAAUAAAUUGAUCAAGGAUAUUAUGUCUUGGACUAAGGAUGACAUAGAGUGUAAUAGGUAACAGUUCUUGCUCUCAUUCAGUUGCAAGUUUUGAAGUUUAUUACUUGCAAAAUAUAUAAAUAUUAGCAUAAAUUAAUAAAAGCCUAAAAGGCAGUGUUAACAAAUGGUAGACAACGUGGAUCAAUGGAGAGAACAUCUCAAUGUUUUUCUGUGCUUUCUACUCUUCAGAAUGAAUGCAGCGAGCUGUUUCAACCUUUCGGUUGGGAUCAAGAUUGUUGUGUCACCUCUGUGUUUGGAAAGAGACCAAGAAUGGAUACGCUCAGGUGAUUUAAGCAGUCUUCCAUGGCCAUGAGCUCUGUGGUUGCCUCUGUAUAUUAAGAGCACAGAGAUUAAAAACGGACCCACUCAAGCUGACUUCAGAAUUCCUCCUUGGUCACAAGCUUUUUGAUUGCAUGUCUGCAUUAGGAGCCUAGAGAACAAUAAUGGGUGCACUUGAGCCGAUUGAAACAUUCCUCCUUGCAUCUUUGUUCUAUGAUUGCAUCUAUUUGUUAGUAGCAUAGAGACCAAUAAUGGACAUCCUUGUUCUGUCUUGAGAAUUCCUCUAGGGUCACAUGCUCUGUUUGCACCAUGCUUAGGAAGGAGCACGGAGACCAACAAUGAUGCACUUUUUAUGAUUUGCGAAUUCCUCCAUGGUCACGUGCUCUGUUUUUAUCAUGGUUGGGAGCCUGCAGACCAAUGUGAGUAGUAAUCAACAUUCGCAUCUUGGCCCAAAUGGUUUGUUUAAGAGGACUCAGGGUAUUAUCAAAAAGCCUAUAAUAUAAACAGAAUGGUCAACUGUAUUUAAGUGAUAGAUAUUGGAGUGAUAUGAAGCAUUAUAUUGAUAAUGCAUAUAUGAAAAAUUGAGGGUAAUGAAACAGAUAUAUUGAUGUUAGAAUGAUUCCAUGUACAGAUUGGGAAUAUCAAGGCUCUUCUUGGAGCUCUUUGAAUCAGACUCCUUAAUGUUGUUAUUAGUGAAUUGGUAAAUUAAUCACAAAAAUAUAGGCAUGAAUGGAGAAAAGGAAGACCAAUCCUGGAUCGAUGAUGACUACUGGUGGCGUAUGAGUCAUAGACAAUGAAUACGUGUCUGGAACUCUGAGGUCCAUCACAGUGGAAAUGUAUACAUUCCUUCUGCUUAAAAUGAUGUUAUAGACAGAUUUCAGAAAUAUAGAAUGUACUUAUUUUUCUCGGUGGUUGUGUAUUUUUGUUCUAUUUUUAUAAUUGGAUCAAUGAAAGUAAUCAAUAACAUAUAAAUAAA